Molecule: ribosomal RNA, 501 nt
Filed under: uncultured bacterium
Lineage: Bacteria
Description: partial 16S ribosomal RNA
Rfam family: Bacterial small subunit ribosomal RNA
Source: RNAcentral
AUUGAACGCUGGCGGCAUGCCUUACACAUGCAAGUCGAACGGCAGCACGGGUGCUUGCACCUGGUGGCGAGUGGCGAACGGGUGAGUAAUACAUCGGAACGUACCUUAUCGUGGGGAUAACGCAGCGAAAGAGUAGCUAAUACCGCAUACGCCAUACGGGGGAAAGGGGGGGAUCGCAAGACCUCUCACUAUUGGAGCGGCCGAUAUCGGAUUAGCUAGUUGGUGGGGUAAAGGCCCACCAAGGCGACGAUCCGUAGCUGGUUUGAGAGGACGACCAGCCACACUGGGACUGAGACACGGCCCAGACUCCUACGGGAGGCAGCAGUGGGGAAUUUUGGACAAUGGGGGCAACCCUGAUCCAGCCAUCCCGCGUGUGCGAUGAAGGCCUUCGGGUUGUAAAGCACUUUUGGCAGGAAAGAAAUCGCACGGGCUAAUACCUCGUGUGGAUGACGGUACCUGCAGAAUAAGCACCGGCUAACUACGUGCCAGCAGCCGCCGUAA